This 301-nucleotide ribosomal RNA is filed under the name uncultured bacterium. RNAcentral's name for it is "partial 16S ribosomal RNA". It matches the Rfam family "Archaeal small subunit ribosomal RNA", at positions 459 to 759 of the family's 1478-position model. The record is from RNAcentral.
CAGUCGCCGCGGGAAUACCAGCAGCCCAAGUGGUGGUCGCGUUUAUUGGGCCUAAAGCGCUCGUAGCCUGGCCGGUAAGUUCCCCGUGAAAUCGGGUCGCCCAACGAUUCGGCUUGCGGGGAAUACUGUCGGUCUUGGGGCCGGGAGACGCCGAGGGUACUCCGGGGGUAGCGGUGAAAUGCUGUAAUCCUCGGGGGACUACCAGUGGCGAAGGCGCUCGGCGAUAACGGGCCUGACGGUGAGGGGCGAAAGCUGGGGGCGCGAACGGGAUUAGAUACCCGAGUAGUCCCUGUCUCUUAUA